AUAUCAUUUUAGUGGAGUAAUUGAUAGAGCCAGAAGCGAAGGUAUAUAUGCGGAUGAAAGAAUGUUGUUGCUGUUGGUACAUGAGGUAAAGAGAAAAAUAGACAGUGGGAGGAGGAAAAGAAACCGCACGGAAGGUGGAGAAGGUGAGGAGAUGAUGAGUGGUGAUGGAGAAGUCGACGACAACGAUGAAACAAUUGGCAGUGGUGGCGACGAC
This 214-nucleotide long non-coding RNA is filed under the name Brassica napus (rape). RNAcentral's name for it is "long non-coding RNA (BNAP_LNC009713)". Lineage: Eukaryota; Viridiplantae; Streptophyta; Magnoliopsida; Brassicales; Brassicaceae. The record is from RNAcentral.